GGGGGGGGGGGGGGGGGGGCGGGGCGCAUGCAGGUCGAGCGGGAGGGGCCUGCUUUUGUGGGGUGCUCGGGUGGCGAGCGGGUGGGUAGCACGUGAGUAACCUGCCCUUGACUUUGGGAUAACUUCAGGAAACUGGGGCUAAUACCGGAUAGGAGCUCCUGCUGCAUGGUGGGGGUUGGAAAGUUUCGGCGGUUGGGGAUGGACUCGCGGCUUAUCAGCUUGUUGGUGGGGUAGUGGCUUACCAAGGCUUUGACGGGUAGCCGGCCUGAGAGGGUGACCGGCCACAGUGGGACUGAGAUACGGCCCAGACUCCUACGGGAGGCAGCAGUGGGGAAUAGUGCACAAGGGGAGGAAGCCUGAUGCAGCAACGCCGCGUGCGGGAUGACGGCCUUCGGGUUGUAAACCGCUUUCGCCUGUGACGAAGCGUGAGUGACGGUAAUGGGUAAAGAAGCACCGGCUAACUACGUG
RNAcentral lists this ribosomal RNA (468 nucleotides) under uncultured bacterium. Its description in RNAcentral is "partial 16S ribosomal RNA". It matches the Rfam family "Bacterial small subunit ribosomal RNA", at positions 38 to 507 of the family's 1533-position model. The record is from RNAcentral.